This 503-nucleotide ribosomal RNA is filed under the name uncultured bacterium. RNAcentral describes it as "partial 16S ribosomal RNA". It matches the Rfam family "Bacterial small subunit ribosomal RNA", at positions 29 to 523 of the family's 1533-position model. The record is from RNAcentral.
AACGAACGCUGGCGGCACGUUUUAAGCAUGCAAGUCGAAUGGCAGCAGGGGCAACUCUGUGAGAAUGGCGAACGGGUGAGUAACACGUAGGUGAUCUGCCUUGAGGAUGGGGAUAGCCUGUGGAAACACAGGGUAAUACCGAAUAAGCUGACGGGACUUUGGUUUUGUUAGUAAAGGUGCUACGGCACCGCCUUGAGAGGAGCCUGCGGCUGAUUAGCUAGUUGGUGGGGUAAAGGCCUACCAAGGCGACGAUCAGUAGCCGGCCUGAGAGGGUGGACGGCCACACUGGGACUGAGACACGGCCCAGACUCCUACGGGAAGCAGCAGCGAAGAAUCUUCCGCAAUGGGCGAAAGCCUGACGGAGCGAUGCCGCGUGAUCGAUGAAGGUCGAGAGAUUGUAAAGAUCUUUUCUACAUGAGGAAUAAGUCUGGGAGGGAAUGCCUGGAUGAUGACGUUAGUGUAGGAAUAAGCCCCGGCUAAUUACGUGCCAGCCGCCGCAGUAA